This 27-nucleotide non-coding RNA is filed under the name Rattus norvegicus (Norway rat). The record is from RNAcentral. Lineage: Eukaryota; Metazoa; Chordata; Mammalia; Rodentia; Muridae.
UGAAACCAUUUAUGCUCGCCCGCAACC